Molecule: ribosomal RNA, 468 nt
Filed under: uncultured bacterium
Lineage: Bacteria
Description: partial 16S ribosomal RNA
Rfam family: Bacterial small subunit ribosomal RNA
Source: RNAcentral
GACGAACGCUGGCGGCGUGCUUAACACAUGCAAGUCGAACGGUGAUGCUCCAGCUUGCUGGAGUGGAUCAGUGGCGAACGGGUGAGUAACACGUGAGCAACCUGCCCCAGACUCUGGAAUAAGCGCUGGAAACGGCGUCUAAUACUGGAUACGAAACUGGCCCGCAUGGGCAUGGUUUGGAAAGUUUUUCGGUUUGGGAUGGGCUCGCGGCCUAUCAGCUUGUUGGUGAGGUAAUGGCUCACCAAGGCGACGACGGGUAGCCGGCCUGAGAGGGCGACCGGCCACACUGGGACUGAGACACGGCCCAGACUCCUACGGGAGGCAGCAGUGGGGAAUAUUGCACAAUGGGCGAAAGCCUGAUGCAGCGACGCCGCGUGAGGGAUGACGGCCUUCGGGUUGUAAACCUCUUUCAGCAGGGAAGAAGCGAAAAUGACGGUACCUGCAGAAGAAGUACCGGCUAACUACGUG